This is a long non-coding RNA of Folsomia candida, 975 nucleotides long. RefSeq lists it as uncharacterized. The record is from RefSeq and is a predicted model, not a curated record. NCBI's taxonomy places the organism in Eukaryota, Metazoa, Arthropoda, Collembola, Entomobryomorpha, Isotomidae. The transcript has 6 exons.
UCAAUACCAAACGGGUAACUAGCCUUCCACCGCAAUAUUUUAAGCUAUCUUUAUAAUUUUGGUAAUAAAUUUCUACCAGCUGGUAAUAAUGUCGUUCAAACUUAUAUAGCACUCUUUACCAUAAUUUUAAUCAAGUGCAGUACAAAUUUUUUCCGUUGUGGUGCUGAUGAGAUCUACAUUUUGGUGUAGUUUAUUACCACAGAGGUAAGAAUUUUAAUACAUUUUGUAUGAAUUGUGAGACGCUACGCAGCGGCGCUUUUUUCAGUUUUAGUUUCCGCUCAGCUCAACUCAAGUCAACAUGCCGAAAUAAUCCCCGUGUCCAAUUCCAAAUUCUGCAUGUGGGAAAAACUGAUAAAAACUUUUGGAAAUUAAAUAGGAUUUUAGGAAACAGUGAAACGAAAAUUUGAGUUGGAAAUCGGAGCAGAGAUUUUUCUGCAAGACGACCAAGGGGGCGGAGAUCGACGACGAAGUAUUCCUAUCCUUGCUGAAAACCUUAUAACCCAAAACUUUGAAUUCUUUGUCAAAGGCGAAAUACAAACCGAAGUAAAAUUGGAUCCGGCCUGUCCAGUUUCAUCAAUAAUUUACGUUGCACGUCCUGAUGAGACGUCGAUAUCCAGUAAUGGUUUCCGAAAAACCCAAAUUUCCAAUGAGGUUGAUAUUUUCAGUCAGAUUGUUAACGCUGCAACGAUUGAGAGCGCCGAAAUUUCCGUUUAGUAGCAGAGUGCAAUCAGAAAAACUGCUUCGAUAAACCGUCGUCGACAACUUUAGUUAAUGAAUUGGUUGCGUAGUUAUGUAAUUGAGACUUUCUCCUACAACCUCCGACCAGAAACACUUAACAGCUGUAAUAAUUAAGCUACUGCCUUCAUUGAGAUGUUCUAAGUCAGGGGACGGUCUGGACAUUUUAUUUGAUGACGUCAACCGAUGUGUACUCAUCCAAAAUCGACGAUUUAUCAGAAUUUGAAGGGGGAAUAGAAG